AGUGAACGCUGGCGGUAGGCCUAACACAUGCAAGUCGAACGGCAGCACAGUAAGAGCUUGCUCUUACGGGUGGCGAGUGGCGGACGGGUGAGGAAUACAUCGGAAUCUACUUUUUCGUGGGGGAUAACGUAGGGAAACUUACGCUAAUACCGCAUACGACCUACGGGUGAAAGCAGGGGAUCUUCGGACCUUGCGCGAUUGAAUGAGCCGCUGUGGGAUUAGCUAGUUGGCGGGGUAAAGGCCCACCAAGGCGACGAUCCGUAGCUGGUCUGAGAGGAUGGUCGGCCACAGUGGAAGGGGGACAGGGUCCAGAGUCCUACGGGAGGCAGCAGUGGGGAAUAUUGGACAAUGGGCGCAAGCCUGAUCCAGCCAUACCGCGUGGGUGAAGAAGGCCUUCGGGUUGUAAAGCCCUUUUGUUGGGAAAGAAAAGCAGCAGGUUAAUACCCCGCUGUUCUGACGGUACCCAAAGAAUAAGCACCGGCUAACUUCGUG
This 492-nucleotide ribosomal RNA is filed under the name uncultured bacterium. RNAcentral describes it as "partial 16S ribosomal RNA". It matches the Rfam family "Bacterial small subunit ribosomal RNA", at positions 29 to 507 of the family's 1533-position model. The record is from RNAcentral.